GGAUUAGAUACCCUGGUAGUCCACGCCCUAAACGAUGCUCACUAGGUGUUGGGGAAGCGAUUCCUUGGUACCGUAGCUAACGCGUGAAGUGAGCCGCCUGGGGAGUACGGCCGCAAGGUUAAAACUCAAAGGAAUUGACGGGGACCCGCACAAGCGGUGGAUGAUGUGGAUUAAUUCGAUGCAACGCGAACAACCUUACCUACCCUUGACAUGUCCGGAAGCCUGCUGAAAGGCGGAGGUGCUCGAAAGAGAACCGGAACACAGGUGCUGCAUGGCUGUCGUCAGCUCGUGCCG
RNAcentral lists this ribosomal RNA (294 nucleotides) under uncultured bacterium. RNAcentral's name for it is "partial 16S ribosomal RNA". It matches the Rfam family "Bacterial small subunit ribosomal RNA", at positions 775 to 1067 of the family's 1533-position model. The record is from RNAcentral.